RNAcentral lists this ribosomal RNA (396 nucleotides) under Triticum aestivum (bread wheat). Its description in RNAcentral is "partial small subunit ribosomal RNA". The record is from RNAcentral. Lineage: Eukaryota; Viridiplantae; Streptophyta; Magnoliopsida; Poales; Poaceae.
CGUCGUGGCUGGCCCAACUGCGGCUUGUGUCCCCUUUGUAAGCAAGCACAGGAGUCCGCUGCUCACCUACUCUUCCAAUGCCGUUUCACAUUGCGCAUUUGGAAUGACAUUCUUCUAUGGCUUGGAAUGCACCACAUCUCUACUACUACAUGGACGAUGAGCGCUUCGGUCAAAGAAUGGUGGGACAGCAACCUUCAGAUUCGUCUCGGCUCUCCCAAAGCCCUUGCCUCAUUGAUGAUGCUCAUCUCUUGGGAGGUUUGGUCCGAGAGAAACGCUAGAGUCUUCCGCAACGUGGCGGUUCCAUCGGUGGUCAUCAUCAACAAGAUCAAGCAUGAGGCGUCGCUUUGGGCUUUGGCGGGUGCCAAGCACUUGAGUAUUGUAAUGCCGCGAGAGUAA